Molecule: ribosomal RNA, 497 nt
Filed under: uncultured bacterium
Lineage: Bacteria
Description: partial 16S ribosomal RNA
Rfam family: Bacterial small subunit ribosomal RNA
Source: RNAcentral
GAUGAACGCUGGCGGCGUGCCUAAUACAUGCAAGUCGAGCGAACAGAUAAGGAGCUUGCUCCUUUGACGUUAGCGGCGGACGGGUGAGUAACACGUGGGUAACCUACCUAUAAGACUGGGAUAAAUUCGGGAAACCGGAGCUAAUACCGGAUAAUAUUUCGAACCGCAUGGUUCGAUAGUGAAAGAUGGUUUUGCUAUCACUUAUAGAUGGACCCGCGCCGUAUUAGCUAGUUGGUAAGGUAACGGCUUACCAAGGCGACGAUACGUAGCCGACCUGAGAGGGUGAUCGGCCACACUGGAACUGAGACACGGUCCAGACUCCUACGGGAGGCAGCAGUAGGGAAUCUUCCGCGAUGGGCGAAAGCCUGACGGAGCAACGCCGCGUGAGUGAUGAAGGUCUUCGGAUCGUAAAACUCUGUUAUUAGGGAAGAACAUACGUGUAAGUAACUGUGCACGUCUUGACGGUACCUAAUCAGAAAGCCACGGCUAACUACGUG